GAUGAACGCUGGCGGCGUGCCUAAUACAUGCAAGUCGAGCGAACGGACGAGAAGUUUGCUUCUCUGAUGUUAGCGGCGGACGGGUGAGUAACACGUGGACAACCUACCUAUAAGACUGGGAUAACUUCGGGAAACCGGAGCUAAUACCGGAUAAUAUUUUGAACUGCAUGGUUCAAAAGUGAAAGAAGGUCUUGCUGUCACUUAUAGAUGGAUCCGCGCUGCAUUAGCUAGUUGGUAAGGUAACGGCUUACCAAGGCAACGAUGCAUAGCCGACCUGAGAGGGAGAUCGGACACACUGGAACAGAGACACGGUCCAGACUCCUACGGGAGGCAGCAGUAGGGAAUCUUCCGCAAUGGGCGAAAGCCUGACGGAGCAACGCCGCGUGAGUGAUGAAGGUCUUCGGAUCGUAAAACUCUGUUAUUAGGGAAGAACAUAUGUGUAAUUAACUGUGCACAUCUUGACGGUACCUAAUCAGAAAGCCACGGCUAACUACGUG
Molecule: ribosomal RNA, 497 nt
Filed under: uncultured bacterium
Lineage: Bacteria
Description: partial 16S ribosomal RNA
Rfam family: Bacterial small subunit ribosomal RNA
Source: RNAcentral